GGAUGUUGUGUCUGUCGCUCGAUCCACCACCCUACCAUUAUCUCCAUCUGUAAACCACCGAGUGGUUCAAUGGCCACCAACCAUUUCCUCACAUACCCUCCACACUCUUCUUCUAUAUUCCCAAAUAUAUAUAAUACUGUUCACGUGCUUCUGAUUCAACACUGAAAACUACAUGCCAUGCAUGGCCAUAUGGCACAGAUUCUUUAAACAAUACAAAACUAUAUAUUCAGCUGUUUAUUUGGCUAUAUAUAUGCGUGUCCGUGUUUUCACUAAUGCAUGGGGUGGCAGUAGUGACAGUUCAACUUUGGAAAAGAUGUCUGAUCUGAGAGUGUGCACUGGGUAAACCCUGCUUUGUGAUCUUAGCCAGCAAAAAAUAUAAACCAGCCUGGAUUGCUCGAAGCUGAUCAGCUCAAACUAAGAAGGCCAAUAGGCUGGUCUGGUUGGGAGUCAAACUUAUUCAUAGAUGGAGCAUGGAGGUGGACUAAAGAUGUGUGUGUUUUAUUUGCAUUUGCACCUGCACCUCCUUAUUCCCAGCCAUUUUGCUCUUUAGGGUCAUCAUCCUUUUUACAGAGCUAGAAGCUGAGAGAGAGACUAGUAGAUAGAUCAGUCUGCAGGGCAGGGAGGUGCAAGUGCAAAUGCAGACAAAACCCCACAUCAAUAUGUCCAUCUGGUAUAUAUACUCGCAAGCACAAGAUUCAUCUUCCAUGAUGUGAUGAUGGUGGUAAUGUUCUUGGCCUGUUUGACCAUAUAAUGUUAAAGCAUGUGCUCCAUAUUCACUGACCUGAGUAUCAAAGCCAUCAGGAAGCUUGAUUAUGAAAGAAUAGGCAUUGGCAACCCGAGCAGCGGCUUCAACCUCGGCAUCACUAGCACCGGGCCUACCCAACAGUAUGUUUUCUUUGAUUGUGGUGGCAAAGAGUGCUGGCUCUUGGCUUACUAGCCCGAUUUGCUGUCUCAGCCAUCUCAGCUUUAGCGUCUUUAUAUCAUGCCCAUCUAGCAGAACUUGUCCUGCAGACCAAAUAUUCAUUAACGCGGAUUUUCAUUGCUCUUAUAUAGCAUUCAUGAGUGAAUAAAGAGGUCUGUUGUUUAGUGUA
Molecule: long non-coding RNA, 1091 nt
Organism: Ipomoea triloba (trilobed morning glory)
Lineage: Eukaryota; Viridiplantae; Streptophyta; Magnoliopsida; Solanales; Convolvulaceae
Exons: 3
Source: RefSeq, a predicted model, not a curated record